UAAAUUUCUUUUUUCAAAUUUCAUUCUAAAUACAAAUUCUAUAUUAAUUGAUUAAGAUGAGUAUGAAUUGCACUAAGAGGAGGAGAAAACAAAAAGAGUAAUUUAAAAAAUUUAUAAGAUUUGAAAAAACAUAUAGGUGUAUCAAUUAACCUCAAAUAUUAGUAAAUGAAAUGCAUAGCCAAGCCAACAUAGCUGAAGAACAAAAUCCAUUCAUAAGUUACAAUACAAAGUGAACAAUAAUAUUCCUACACAUAUGAUGCUAGUACAUCAGAAUAAAAACUAUAACACGAAAUGAGAAAUCGGAUAAACAAGAUGCAAAGUAAGUUAGAUCGGGAUGGCAUUGGUGACUUUAGGAUACACAACAGUAGCAGGAUGACCCAUGAUUUUGCGACCCUUCAUAUGCUUAAAGCAAUACACCAGAGCCCCCACCGGCCACUCCACCACCGCCGCAGCCACAAACGCCACGAACCCGAGUGUAGGCCCCACCACCUUACACCGGCAAGGGUUACUUCUUGUGCCACAUUCCACGCAAAUUGGAACCCCUAUUCCAACCAUCUUCAAUCAAAAGCUAGUAAUCAAGUGAGAAUUCUUAGAAAUAAAGAAGUACACUGCAAGUUGUUCGUGUU
Molecule: long non-coding RNA, 626 nt
Filed under: Lathyrus oleraceus (garden pea)
Lineage: Eukaryota; Viridiplantae; Streptophyta; Magnoliopsida; Fabales; Fabaceae
Description: Pisum sativum (pea) long non-coding RNA (PSAT_LNC038408)
Source: RNAcentral